AAGAAAGAAAUUAUGUGCACUACAGUUUGAAAUAGAUAGCCAUAUCAGCCACUUCUCCCUGCAAUCGGAAAAGUCCUCCUUUGUUUACUUAAAAUUGCUCAAGCUAAAAGAAUGAGGACCAAUUUGACGUUGCUUUGUGUGCUAGUUCUUUCUGCCGUACUUCUUCAUGAUGUGGAAGGCCAGUGGCUGAUUUGGGAAGGAAGAUUACGUAGAGGAUUUGAACGGCAGCUACCCUUUAACAGUUUCUGCGCAACGCAAUAUUUACGUUGUCUGCAAGCCGGUGCCCCGCGAUAUAUCUGUUUCUCCGGGUACCAUAGAUGUUCAUGGAACGUUUGAAUCCCGCUUAUUCACCUCGGCUAGACGACAAGGAAUCGGACACUCAAUUAACAGAUGGUCAAAGAACAGUUUGUACGAGGGAGGAAAGGAACAUUUUGUACAAGAUGGCGGAAUGAUCG
Long non-coding RNA from Mizuhopecten yessoensis (Yesso scallop), 455 nucleotides. RefSeq lists it as uncharacterized. NCBI's taxonomy places the organism in Eukaryota, Metazoa, Mollusca, Bivalvia, Pectinida, Pectinidae. The transcript has 3 exons. The record is from RefSeq and is a predicted model, not a curated record.